This 526-nucleotide ribosomal RNA is filed under the name Aldrichina grahami. RNAcentral's name for it is "partial 16S ribosomal RNA". It matches the Rfam family "Bacterial large subunit ribosomal RNA", at positions 1894 to 2620 of the family's 2925-position model. The record is from RNAcentral. Lineage: Eukaryota; Metazoa; Arthropoda; Insecta; Diptera; Calliphoridae.
CUUUAAAUUUUUUAAGUCUAACCUGCCCACUGAAUUUUUUAAAUGGCCGCAGUAUACUAACUGUGCAAAGGUAGCAUAAUCAUUAGUCUUUUAAUUGAAGGCUGGUAUGAAUGGUUGGACGAGAUAUUAACUGUUUCAUAAUAAUUUAUAAUAGAAUUUUAUUUUUUAGUCAAAAAGCUAAAAUAUAUUUAAAAGACGAGAAGACCCUAUAAAUCUUUAUAUUUAGAUUAUUAUAAUUUUAUAGAUUUUUUUUAUUAUAAUAAUCAAUGAUAUUUUAUUGGGGUGAUAUUAAAAUUUAAUAAACUUUUAAUUGUUAAAAUCAUUAAUUUAUGAAUAAUUGAUCCGUUAUUAGCGAUUAAAAAAAUAAGUUACUUUAGGGAUAACAGCGUAAUUUUUUUGGAGAGUUCAUAUCGAUAAAAAAGAUUGCGACCUCGAUGUUGGAUUAAGAUAUAAUUUUAGGUGUAGCCGCUUAAAUUUUAAGUCUGUUCGACUUUUAAAUUCUUACCUGAUCUGAGUUCAGACCGGA